AGAGUUUGAUCAUGGCUCAGAACGAACGCUGGCGGCAUGCCUAAUACAUGCAAGUCGAACGAGACCUUCGGGUCUAGUGGCGCACGGGUGCGUAACGCGUGGGAAUCUGCCCUUGGGUUCGGAAUAACUUCGGGAAACUGAAGCUAAUACCGGAUGAUGACGAAAGUCCAAAGAUUUAUCGCCCAGGGAUGAGCCCGCGUAGGAUUAGCUAGUUGGUGGGGUAAAGGCUCACCAAGGCAACGAUCCUUAGCUGGUCUGAGAGGAUGAUCAGCCACACUGGGACUGAGACACGGCCCAGACUCCUACGGGAGGCAGCAGUAGGGAAUAUUGGACAAUGGGCGAAAGCCUGAUCCAGCAAUGCCGCGUGAGUGAUGAAGGCCUUAGGGUUGUAAAGCUCUUUUACCCGAGAUGAUAAUGACAGUAUCGGGAGAAUAAGCUCCGGCUAACUUCGUGCCAGCAGCCGCGGUAAUACGGAGGGAGCUAGCGUUGUUCGGAAUUGCUGGGCGUAAAGCGCACGUAGGCGGCGAUUUAAGUCAGAGGUGAAAGCCCGGGGCUCAACCCCGGAACUGCCUUUGAGACUGGAUUGCUAGAAUCUUGGAGAGGCGAGUGGAAUUCCGAGUGUAGAGGUGAAAUUCGUAGAUAUUCGGAAGAACACCAGUGGCGAAGGCGGCUCGCUGGACAAGUAUUGACGCUGAGGUACGAAAGCGUGGGGAGCAAACAGGAUUAGAUACCCCGGUAGUCC
RNAcentral lists this ribosomal RNA (742 nucleotides) under uncultured bacterium. RNAcentral's name for it is "bacterial SSU rRNA". It matches the Rfam family "Bacterial small subunit ribosomal RNA", at positions 8 to 796 of the family's 1533-position model. The record is from RNAcentral.